This 1168-nucleotide ribosomal RNA is filed under the name uncultured human oral bacterium A15. Its description in RNAcentral is "bacterial SSU rRNA". It matches the Rfam family "Bacterial small subunit ribosomal RNA", at positions 353 to 1515 of the family's 1533-position model. The record is from RNAcentral.
AGUGGGGGAUUUUGCACAAUGGGCGCAAGCCUGAUGCAGCGACGCCGCGUGAGGGAUGGAGGCCUUCGGGUUGUGAACCUCUGUCGCCGGUGAUGUAGGCUCUGCUUUGUGGGUGGGGUUGACGGUAGCCGGGGUAUGAAGUGCCGGCUAACUACGUGCCAGCAGCCGCGGUAAUACGUAGGGCGCGAGCGUUGUCCGGAAUUAUUGGGCGUAAAGAGCUCGUAGGCGGCUGGUCGCGUCUGUCGUGAAAUCCUCUGGCUUAACUGGGGGCGUGCGGUGGGUACGGGCCGGCUUGAGUGCGGUAGGGGAGGCUGGAAUUCCUGGUGUAGCGGUGGAAUGCGCAGAUAUCAGGAGGAACACCGGUGGCGAAGGCGGGUCUCUGGGCCGUGUACUGACGCUGAGGAGCGAAAGCGUGGGGAGCGAACAGGAUUAGAUACCCUGGUAGUCCAUGCUGUAAACGUUGGGCACUAGGUGUGGGGGGUCUUUCCGGGUCUUCCGCGCCGUAGCUAACGCAUUAAGUGCCCCGCCUGGGGAGUACGGCCGCAAGGCUAAAACUCAAAGGAAUUGACGGGGGCCCGCACAAGCGGCGGAGCAUGCGGAUUAAUUCGAUGCAACGCGAAGAACCUUACCAAGGCUUGACAUGGGCCGGUGGUUCCCGGAGACGGGAGCGUCCCCUUUUUGUGGGCUGGUUCACAGGUGGUGCAUGGUUGUCGUCAGCUCGUGUCGUGAGAUGUUGGGUUAAGUCCCGCAACGAGCGCAACCCUUGUCUCGUGUUGCCAGCACGUUGUGGUGGGGACUCGCGGGAGACUGCCGGGGUCAACUCGGAGGAGGGUGGGGAUGACGUCAAAUCAUCAUGCCCCUUAUGUCUUGGGCUUCACGCAUGCUACAAUGGCCGGUACAGUGGGUUGCGAUGUCGUGAGGCGGAGCGAAUCCCUGAAAGCCGGUCUCAGUUCGGAUCGGUGUCUGCAACUCGACACCGUGAAGUUGGAGUCGCUAGUAAUCGCAGAUCAGCAACGCUGCGGUGAAUACGUUCUCGGGCCUUGUACACACCGCCCGUCACGUCAUGAAAGUCGGCAACACCCGAAGCCCGUGGCCUUAUGGGGAGCGGUCGAAGGUGGGGCUGGUGAUUGGGACGAAGUCGUAACAAGGUAGCCGUACCGGAAGGUGC